This 452-nucleotide ribosomal RNA is filed under the name uncultured bacterium. RNAcentral's name for it is "bacterial SSU rRNA". It matches the Rfam family "Bacterial small subunit ribosomal RNA", at positions 340 to 783 of the family's 1533-position model. The record is from RNAcentral.
UACGGGAGGCAGCAGUGGGGAAUAUUGCACAAUGGGCGCAAGCCUGAUGCAGCCAUGCCGCGUGUAUGAAGAAGGCCUUCGGGUUGUAAAGUACUUUCAGUCGUGAGGAAGGUGUUAAGGUUAAUAACCUUAGCAAUUGACGUUAGCGACAGAAGAAGCACCGGCUAACUCCGUGCCAGCAGCCGCGGUAAUACGGAGGGUGCGAGCGUUAAUCGGAAUUACUGGGCGUAAAGGGCACGCAGGCGGUUAAUUAAGUUGGAUGUGAAAUCCCCGGGCUUAACCUGGGAAUGGCAUUCAAGACUGGUUAGCUAGAGUCUUGUAGAGGGGGUAGAAUUCCAUGUGUAGCGGUGAAAUGCGUAGAGAUGUGGAGGAUACCGGUGGCGAAGGCGGCCCCUGGACAAAGGACUGACGCUCAUGUGCGAAAGCGUGGGGAGCAAACGAGGGAUUUAGAU